Molecule: ribosomal RNA, 253 nt
Filed under: uncultured bacterium
Lineage: Bacteria
Description: partial 16S ribosomal RNA
Rfam family: Bacterial small subunit ribosomal RNA
Source: RNAcentral
UACGGAGGGAGCUAGCGUUAUUCGGAAUUACUGGGCGUAAAGGGCUCGUAGGCGGCCAACUAAGUCAGACGUGAAAUCCCUCGGCUUAACCGGGGAACUGCAUCUGAUACUGGAUGGCUUGAGUUCGGGAGAGGGAUGCGGAAUUCCAGGUGUAGCGGUGAAAUGCGUAGAUAUCUGGAGGAACACCGGUGGCGAAGGCGGCAUCCUGGACCAACACUGACACUGAGGAGCGAAAGCCAGGGGAGCAAACGGG